Molecule: long non-coding RNA, 1850 nt
Organism: Onychostoma macrolepis
Lineage: Eukaryota; Metazoa; Chordata; Actinopteri; Cypriniformes; Cyprinidae
Exons: 3
Source: RefSeq, a predicted model, not a curated record
GAGAAUAAUUUCAGACAAGUUUCCCUGUAUAAUUAAACAACAUUUAAAGCAGUAAUGACGAUUUCUAAAGUAUUCAAUCGGUUCACUUUAUUUGUCAUUGUAGAUUUCAGCAGAAAUUUAUAUAAGGGGAAUGUAGAGCUCAUAGCAUCAUUGUGGACAGAAGCUUAUGAUUAAAGGCUGGAAUUAUAAGCAUAUAUAUCUGCAGCAUGAAAACACAUCACAUCUAAUUAUACCGUAUAUGAACAUGUGAAUUCAUGCCAUCAAAACAUACUCAAACGAUUCUCUUUUAAGUUAUAUUUUCAGUAUUAAAAUAUGUCAGUAUUCAUGUUGCUCACAUCCACAACAUAUCUACAGUCUACUUUGUUUAAAAUCAUUUACUAUAAAAGUAAUUAUCAAACAUGAAAUGUAUAUUCUACAUGAAACGUAUAACCCUUUUCUCUGUUCCUAAAAUCGAAUUAGUUGACAACAAGGACCAACAAUGAUGCUGACCUAAGAAAAGGUUUGAAAUGGCAAAAUCAUGGUAACCGCAGUCCUUCUGCAGCACAUUGGUACUCGCUGUCGCUGACUUCCAGAAUCACUGACUGCCAACACCAAACAAGGAUAGAGAAAGGAUAGAAACUGUGAAGUUUCUUAAAAACAUUUCUAUCAGUCACUCUAAGUGUCUUUCUAAGUGUCUAAGUGUCUCUUGCACCUGAAAAGUUAAUCAAGCACAUCUGAGCCCAACAGACCAUAACAGCUUUCAGCUCAAUUCAAACACAGGCCUUUAUUUGGUGUUCAUAUUUUUUUCAGGUUAAAUAUCUAGACCACACCUGAGUUGCAAUGUUAAAAGGGGUGUGUCGAUGUGAAAUAUACCUGCAGACAAGUAUGUUGUGAAUGAUUCUGCACUUCCUUCCAGCACUAGUUUGGUUCUUCAAUGGCAAAUAAGGGGCAUGAAAUUGCAAACUGUGUCCAGCCUCCAAUUGCAUAAUUGUAAAAUAAGGAACAGAUUUUUAUAAACUUCUGGCCAUAUACGAUGCUUUGCAUAGACAGCAACAGUGAUCUGAAAAUGUUUAUAGGUCUGCUUAACUCUUCACUGGGCUUCUGUUCAUGACAGCAGAUCUAACAGCCAACAUGACUUUGUUCUCGUUUAUCAUUUGGAUACUCUACAGCAUGCAAGGUUGUUUUGGACAAAUUGUUGUGACACAGUCUGAGGUUAAAUCAGUCCAGCCUGGUCAAACCGUUUCUAUUGACUGUAAAGUUGAUACUGUGGUUUACAAAAAUGAGCAAGGCAGUGUCUCUAAAGGGCGUUAUUAUGUAUCUUGGUACAGCCAAAAGCCCGAAGAGGCUCCCAGACUCUUGGUUUAUUAUACAAAUGAAAAAAACUCAGGAAUUCCAUCAAGAUUCAGUGGCAGUGGACAAGGAAACGGUCUUGAGUUUAGUCUGACCAUCAGUGAUGCCCAGUUUGAAGAUGCAGGAGAUUAUUACUGUCAGAGUUACCAUGAAAUCAGUGGUAAAGCAGUGUUCACACUGUGAAAAGUUCCCGUACAAAAACCUACCUUGGUCAGACUACCAAGAAUCCUCUGAUGCAUCUGAGACCUACAGGUGCUGAAAGCAGAACAAAAACAGGGGCAGCAAUAAGAUACAAACAGAUGUUCUAUUUAAUCAAAUUAAUCUUCCAACCCAGAUCUGCAAUAUCAAUAGAACAUUUCUUGCUGUUCCUGUUAUUUCAUUUUCCAAAUCCACUGGGUUCCAUGACAUUUCUCAUACAGUGUUUCACAUAUAGAAAUAUGACAACUGUGCUUGACACAAAGUAGAGAGGGAGACAAAUGCAACAUGAAUACAAAAUCAGUCAGUCGAUUCUGGCUUUAAUA